Molecule: ribosomal RNA, 819 nt
Filed under: uncultured Acidobacteriota bacterium
Lineage: Bacteria; Pseudomonadati; Acidobacteriota
Description: bacterial SSU rRNA
Rfam family: Bacterial small subunit ribosomal RNA
Source: RNAcentral
AGAGUUUGAUCAUGGCUCAGAAUCAACGCUGGCGGCGUGCCUAACACAUGCAAGUCGAACGCGAAAGCCCCGCAAGGGGCAAGUAGAGUGGCAAACGGGUGAGUAACACGUGGGUGACCUGCCUUCGAGCGGGGGAUAACGUCCCGAAAGGGACGCUAAUACCGCAUAACAUCCUGCCUUUGAAGAGGUGGAGAUCAAAGCUGGGGAUCGCAAGACCCGGCACUUGAAGAGGGGCCCGCGUCUGAUUAGCUAGUUGGUGGGGUAACGGCCUACCAAGGCAACGAUCAGUAUCCGGCCUGAGAGGGCGGACGGACACACUGGGACUGAGACACGGCCCAGACUCCUACGGGAGGCAGCAGUGGGGAAUUGUUCGCAAUGGGCGCAAGCCUGACGACGCAACGCCGCGUGGAGGAUGAAGAUUUUCGGAUCGUAAACUCCUGUCGAAUGGGACGAAUAGGUAGCGGGUUAACAGCCCGCAACCCUGACGGUACCGUUAAAGGAAACCCCGGCUAACUCCGUGCCAGCAGCCGCGGUAAUACGGGGGGGGUAAGCGUUGUUCGGAAUUACUGGGCGUAAAGGGCUCGUAGGCGGCCAACUAAGUCAUACGUGAAAUCCCUCAGCUUAACUGGGGAACUGCGUGUGAUACUGGAUGGCUUGUAUUUGGGAGAGGGAUGCGGAAUUCCAGGUGUAGCGGUGAAAUGCGUAGAUAUCUGGAGGAACACCGGUGGCGAAGCGGCAUCCUGUACCAAUAUUGACGCUGAGGAGCGAAAGCUAGGGGAGCAAACGGGAUUAGAUACCCCGGUAGUCCUAGCCCUAAAC